UGCAGUCGAACGGUAACAGGUCUUCGGAUGCUGACGAGUGGCGAACGGGUGAGUAAUACAUCGGAACGUGCCCGAUCGUGGGGGAUAACGGAGCGAAAGCUUUGCUAAUACCGCAUACGAUCUACGGAUGAAAGCAGGGGACCGCAAGGCCUUGCGCGGACGGAGCGGCCGAUGGCAGAUUAGGUAGUUGGUGGGAUAAAAGCUUACCAAGCCGACGAUCUGUAGCUGGUCUGAGAGGACGACCAGCCACACUGGGACUGAGACACGGCCCAGACUCCUACGGGAGGCAGCAGUGGGGAAUUUUGGACAAUGGGCGCAAGCCUGAUCCAGCCAUGCCGCGUGCAGGAUGAAGGCCUUCGGGUUGUAAACUGCUUUUGUACGGAACGAAAAGACUCUUUCUAAUAAAGAGGGUCCAUGACGGUACCGUAAGAAUAAGCACCGGCUAACUACGUGCCAGCAGCCGCGGUAAUACGAAGGGUGCAAGCGUUACUCGGAAUUACUGGGCGUAAAGCGUGCGUAGGUGGUGGUUUAAGUCCGUUGUGAAAGCCCUGGGCUCAACCUGGGAAUUGCAGUGGAUACUGGAUCACUAGAGUGUGGUAGAGGGAUGCGGAAUUUCUGGUGUAGCAGUGAAAUGCGUAGAGAUCAGAAGGAACAUCCGUGGCGAAGGCGGCAUCCUGGGCCAACACUGACACUGAGGCAC
This 700-nucleotide ribosomal RNA is filed under the name uncultured bacterium. RNAcentral's name for it is "bacterial SSU rRNA". It matches the Rfam family "Bacterial small subunit ribosomal RNA", at positions 56 to 754 of the family's 1533-position model. The record is from RNAcentral.